RNAcentral lists this ribosomal RNA (293 nucleotides) under uncultured Glomus. RNAcentral's name for it is "partial small subunit ribosomal RNA". It matches the Rfam family "Eukaryotic small subunit ribosomal RNA", at positions 770 to 1064 of the family's 1831-position model. Lineage: Eukaryota; Fungi; Glomeromycota; Glomeromycetes; Glomerales; Glomeraceae. The record is from RNAcentral.
AGUGUUCAAAGCAGGCCUAUGCUCGGAUACAUUAGCAUGGAAUAAUAAAAUAGGACGUUCGAUCCUAUUUUGUUGGUUUCUAGGAUUGACGUAAUGAUUAAUAGGGAUAGUUGGGGGCAUUAGUAUUCAAUUGUCAGAGGUGAACUUCUUGGAUUUAUUGAAGACUAACUACUGCGAAAGCAUUUGCCAAGGAUGUUUUCAUUAAUCAGGAACGAAAGUUAGGGGAUCGAAGACGAUCAGAUACCGUCGUAGUCUUAACCAUAAACUAUGCCGACUAGGGAUCGGACGAUGUU